GGGAAGGUAGCUCAGUGGUAGAGCGCUUGCUUUGAAUGCAUGAGGCCCUGAGUUUGACUCCUCAACACCA
Dipodomys ordii (Ord's kangaroo rat) is the source of this 70-nucleotide non-coding RNA. Lineage: Eukaryota; Metazoa; Chordata; Mammalia; Rodentia; Heteromyidae. The record is from Rfam.